Long non-coding RNA from Tympanuchus pallidicinctus (lesser prairie-chicken), 1775 nucleotides. RefSeq lists it as uncharacterized. The transcript has 3 exons. The record is from RefSeq and is a predicted model, not a curated record. Lineage: Eukaryota; Metazoa; Chordata; Aves; Galliformes; Phasianidae.
CCUGCUGUCAGCACAUCACUGCCUGGAGCGCUCUCCAAAUUCCCUCUGAGAAGGAGGAUAGCAUGGCACAUACAGCAAUGGAUUUUUGCAAGAUUGAACUGUACACACGCUCAACCUGGGGGAAUUUCUGAAAGUUGCUUUUCUUUUUUUUUUUUUUUUUUAACUAUCUAUUGAGGAGAUGAGGUCCAGACUCCAGCCAGAAUCAAGGGUAGAGCUGGAAACAGGAGAAACAAAGUUCUUGUGAAAUUUUCAGACAAAUUUUGGAAGCCCACACAGCCUACACUGGUUGGACAAGCUUCAAAAUAAGUACACGCUUCUCAAAGCUUUGAUGCAUCUGGACCUUGUGGGAUUUCUGCCGUUGAAGGUCAGCUUCGCUACACCCACACCACCACUCAAAGUUAUAGAGAACUGUUCAUGGGACAUCACAUCCUCUGAGGUCUCCCCUGCCUGUCCUACAGCUCAGGGUGAAUUGUGGCCAUUACAUCCCACACUCCUUCCUGCCUGGUUCACUGCCGUCACCACCAUCGCUUGCUUUCCUCCCCCAAACCUGUCAUUCUUUUGCCUCUUUGCACAUUUCUUCAUGUCAGGUCUUUGGCUUAGAAACGACUUCUCCUGUGAGCCAAACCUCCUUAUUCUACACUUUAAAAUCCUUAUGAAAUUUGGCUUGCCUUCCAAAACUAAGCCUCAGCUCCCUUGUUACUCUUCUAAAUAUAAAACAUUUUUAUUACAUUAAGCUAUGCUGAAAAAAAGUAGGAGAAAGAAUAAGAAAAAAAGGAAAAUCCCUGCACUAAGUGUGAAGAAAGUGUUCAGCAUAGCAGCAGAUCACGUCUUUUUGUUUUGUCUUGGUAUCAUCUUGUUUGCACAUGCUCUGGGCUCACUGUCUGUAUUCCUCCUUGUGUGCCUCCUGCACUGAAAAGCCCCCUAACAGUUGCAACAAGAGGAGUGGUUGCCAGGCUUAACUGGAGAGUUCUGGAAAUGGGAAAAGCUGCCCCAUUAUCGAUCGUGCUGCACUACUAGUCCUAAAGAUAAACUUGUAUCCUAGGGUAUUCACUUAGCAUCUUUCAACUACAUUAAACUUCACUUUCUUAUACAACCGAAGGCAAGUUUGAGAUUAGUUAUUUAUAUUUUUACAGGUCCAUUUUGUUCAUUAUUUCCAAUGUAAUUUUAAUCAUUUCAACAAAGAAGUGGCUUAAUAUUCCCAAUAAUGGCACUUGUUAGUUUAAAUAUUAAAAUUCGCAUUAGAAAUUCCCUUGACUACGUGUGCAUUAUUUGCAUUAUAGAUCGGAUGCGUCUCGGUGUCUCUCUCUCUAUAUGUAUAUGUUCAUGCACAUGUAUGUAUUUUCCAGAAAAUGCAGUUUUAAAUGAUCCUAUCUGAGCUGAGAGCACAUAGCAAAUGCCAAAGCAAUUAGUGAUAAACAAGGUCCUAACACGCCAAAAUUAAAAGCUGCUAAUUUUCAACUUUAAAUAAAUCCUUAUUGUAUAGCAGAAAUAAUUCCUCAUAAAGCGUUUCCAACAUUCAGAGAAUGCUUUUAGGACAUACAGCAUUAACAUAAUUUUUUCGACUGGGGUUCUCACAGGACAUCUGAUGAAGUCUCUACCCUUAAUUUUAAUUGCGUAGGCUGCAUUCUUAAUUAAAAACUGUACAAAUGGAUUUUAUGCCAUGCCAAAAGAAAUCUGAGUUCAUUAGUUAUAAAACCUUUUAAAAAUUGAUGUAAAUAUGUGAAUUCUUUAAAAGUUUGAACUUGGAGUCCUCAUUUUAUGUUGAGUAGCCUUUU